GAUGAACGCUAGCUACAGGCCUAACACAUGCAAGUCGAGGGGCAUCAUGAUGAUUGCUUGCAAUCAUUGAUGGCGACCGGCGCACGGGUGAGUAACGCGUAUCCACCUACCCAUGACUAAGGGAUAACCCGUCGAAAGUCGGCCUAAGACCUUAUGUCGUCCGAAGCAGGCAUCUAAUUUGGAUGAAAGAUUAAUUGGUGAUGGAUGGGGAUGCGUCUGAUUAGCUUGUCGGUGAGGUAACGGCUCACCGAGGCAACGAUCAGUAGGGGUUCUGAGAGGAAGGUCCCCCACAUUGGAACUGAGACACGGUCCAAACUCCUACGGGAGGCAGCAGUGAGGAAUAUUGGUCAAUGGACGAUAGUCUGAACCAGCCAAGUAGCGUGCAGGAUGACGGCCCUAUGGGUUGUAAACUGCUUUUAUGCGGGAAUAAAGUGAUGGACGUGUCCAUCAUUGCAUGUACCGCAUGAAUAAGGACCGGCUAAUUCCGUGCCAGCAGCCGCGGUAAUACGGAAGGUCCCGGCGUUAUCCGGAUUUAUUGGGUUUAAAGGGAGCGUAGGCUGCCGUUUAAGCGUGUUGUGAAAUGUACCGGCUCAACCGGUGAUGUGCAGCGCGAACUGGAUGGCUUGAGUACGAAGAGGGGAUGCGGAACUCGUGGGUGUAGCGGCGAAAUGCUGAGAUAUCACGAGGAACUCCUAUCGCGAAGGCAGCAUUCCGUUUCGUGACUGACGCUGAUGCUCGAAAGUGCGGGUAUCGAACAGGAUUAUAUACCCUGGUAGUCCCAGGGCGAAUUCCACAGUGGAUAUCAUGCUUAUGGAUACCGGCGACCUGGAGGAGAGAGCCCGGGACCCUGCUUUUGUUCCCUUUAUGAGGGGUUAAUUACUGGGUGGUAGUGCUUGUUUGUGUAUGUGUGGUGUGUGUGAUGUGUGGUGUGUGGUGUGGUAGGUGAUGCUGAGUGUUGUGCUGCUUGUGUGUUGUUUGUGUUUUGUGUUUUGUGAGAUGGGGUGUUGUGGAUGAUUGUUUUGUUGUGGUGGCGUAGUGGUUGGGAGUGGUGCGUUGUUGUUGUGGC
This 1066-nucleotide ribosomal RNA is filed under the name uncultured Actinomyces sp. RNAcentral's name for it is "bacterial SSU rRNA". The stretch from base 1 to 811 matches the Rfam family "Bacterial small subunit ribosomal RNA". The record is from RNAcentral. Lineage: Bacteria; Bacillati; Actinomycetota; Actinomycetes; Actinomycetales; Actinomycetaceae.